UUGAAAGGGAAACGAUUGAAGUCAGUCGUGCUGGCGCGAAAUCAGCUCGACCACUCGGGGAUCACGAGCCGCAGCGAGCCUCAAAACCGCUACGACUCGUGAUUUCUUGGUGGCCUGGUGCACUUUCGUGUCGGCUGGUUAACAUCAAUUUCGAUCGUCAUAAAAAGGCUGGAGGGAUGUGGCUCCUUCGGGAGUGUUAUAACCUUUAGCGGAAUGUGGUGGUCGGGAUUGAGGCUUGCAACGAAUACCUUCAGGGCUGUUCCACCUGGCCUCUCAUCGGAAUUCUGGCGGCGACAGCUUGCUGACGUUGUUAGGAUCGGCCUUCGAACAGGCUAGAGUGUGAGCAAAUUCGUUAAGGAUGUUGACGUA
Molecule: ribosomal RNA, 369 nt
Filed under: uncultured Glomeromycotina
Lineage: Eukaryota; Fungi; Glomeromycota
Description: eukaryotic LSU rRNA
Source: RNAcentral